This 400-nucleotide unclassified non-coding RNA is filed under the name uncultured Muribaculaceae bacterium. RNAcentral's name for it is "contains 16S-23S intergenic spacer region". Lineage: Bacteria; Pseudomonadati; Bacteroidota; Bacteroidia; Bacteroidales; Muribaculaceae. The record is from RNAcentral.
GUCAAUUCAUUUGAGUUUCACCGUUGCCGGCGUACUCCCCAGGUGGGAUGCUUAACGCUUUCGCCCUGCCACCCAGGCCCCAUUCGGCCCGGACAGCUGGCAUCCAUCGUUUACUGUGCGGACUACCAGGGUAUCUAAUCCUGUUCGAUCCCCGCACUUUCGUGCCUCAGCGUCAGUAGGGCGCCGGAAGGCUGCCUUCGCAAUCGGGGUUCUGCGUGAUAUCUAUGCAUUUCACCGCUACACCACGCAUUCCGCGUACUUCUCGCCCACUCAAGGCACCCAGUUUCAACGGCUCGACGAGGUUGAGCCCCGCAAUUUUACCGCUGACUUAAGCGUCCGCCUACGCACCCUUUAAACCCAAUAAAUCCGGAUAACGCUCGCAUCCUCCGUAUUACCGCGG